RNAcentral lists this long non-coding RNA (679 nucleotides) under Apteryx owenii (little spotted kiwi). RNAcentral's name for it is "lncRNA (ENSAOWG00000000027.1)". The record is from RNAcentral. Lineage: Eukaryota; Metazoa; Chordata; Aves; Apterygiformes; Apterygidae.
GCUGGUAACAGGCUGAGGAGAGCUCAGUCCUGGGCACAUCGUACCAAUACAGCAGCAAGACCCCCCAGGGUGUGCAGCCUCGACUCCUCAGGGGAUCGGGGCUCCAUGGACACCUACAAAGAGUCAUCAUCCUGUGGGGGCAGCUGUUGGAGGAGCAGCAGUGCGGAGAGGUGGACCUGGAGCCCAGGCAAAGCGGCCAAGCCCUGGUGGGAACAUGCAAGGCUGGAAGCCAGCCUAGACCACAAGCGUGCAGGCAGGGAGCCAGCGUCACUGUCUUGGUCUCUGCAGAGGAACUGGAAGGGAGUUCAAGAGCUGGGGUCCUUUGCAAAGAAGACACAGAGCAAAGGAGACAUAGCCAGGACUGGCCCAGCACUCUUGGAGCACACGCAUGACGCCUGCUGGCAGGAGAUGAUGGAGCUGGAGAAGGAGAGACUCCACGAGCUGGAGCAUCGGACCCGCUCCCUCCUGCAGUGGAGGCAGGAAGCCCUGGAUGAGCUUCAUGUGCUGCUGCAGAAGGAGAAGAUGGACAUGCUGCGGCAGCUCCAGGAAGCUCUGGAGCAGGAGCCAGCGGUGCCAGGCCAGGCUGGGCGCUCCCUGGCAAGGCAUAUCAGCUUGGCAUGCCAGCGCCUCCGUGACUUGCUUCCUGACAACUCCAUGGGGCAGAGCCCUUCGCCAGCAG